Non-coding RNA from Paramuricea clavata, 242 nucleotides. NCBI's taxonomy places the organism in Eukaryota, Metazoa, Cnidaria, Anthozoa, Malacalcyonacea, Plexauridae. The record is from the annotation of a GenBank genome assembly.
CCGCCUUGGUAUAGUUACAAUGAUCUACAAAGAAUUAGACAGUGGGCCGUACCACAAUAUUCUGUCGUUUCGUGACCCACAACGAGGGUGGGCAUGAUAUUGGUAUCAAAUUGUAGAUAAAAUUUUGGAGAUUAUUCUGUCUCUUUUCACACGCGAGAUUCUGGUACGUUAGUUAGCAAUUGCAAUAUAUUUACUGUCUAUUUACAAACUUGAAAUAUGCGUGAAUCGGGUAUAUGUCCCCA